ACAGCAACAAAGCAAAAUGAAAAGUAAGCUGCUAUGUCACAUGAGGGCAUCACACAAUGUUACAUAAGAUGGCUCCCUCCCAGUUAUUAGUUUGAUGUCAGUUUUGGCAUAAACUGAAAUGAAAUAUAGAGAUGACUAGUUAAAGGAAGAAAAAUGUAUGCCGUUUCCCUUCACUAAUAGUCAACCACAGUUUUUACCUUCAUUAUGACAUAAUCUCGUGAAUGGCUGAAUAGGGUGAAAAACAACUGCUGUGUCCACUGUGUCAUAAAAACUUGUGUAGCUCUUCCUUACUAACAGCCUUGGAAGAUCCUUUUGAUGACACACAAGCUUUUUGCUCUGAGCCAAGGUCUCCCCAUCUCUAAUGGGGAUAAAAGUGAAUUAUCCUGAAAGUAGACUUUGCUUAUAUUUGUGUUACAGCUUUCCUUCAUAAAAGAAAAUCUGUGAGAAAAUAAAAUAUGUUAGAAGAGACCAGAAAUUGUUGAGUGGAAGGAGAUAAUGAAAUCAAAAGCAAAAUAGGGACAUGCGUUCAAGGAGGCAAACAUUAACCAGGUCAAAAGCUGCCAUGAUGCAGAAUUCAGAAAUGAGAGCCCUAACAUUUACCCUGAAGGUAACUCAGUGAAUGGAGAGAAAUUGGAGGUGAUGUCUGAUAGGAGAAUGGAAAGAAGGUAGAUGAUGAAGAGAAUGAAAUUAUGCUUUUACUAUGGAAAAGCUCUAAUACUACUUGUGAGAUGCCAAAAUCAGGUGGAAAUUAAUUCAGUGAAUAAGGUAACAGGAUAUUAGGACAAGGUAAGUUCUUCUCUCAUUACUAGAAUAAGAAGAAACUUGCAAGGAGAGUGAAAGCAUGAAACCUGAGUGGUGGAAAUGGAAAAAUAGAAAGUUUUCAGCAGUAUGAAAAAGGCAUAUUAUAACAUACUGGAAAGGCUCCAAAGGAAGGCCACAAAGAUGAUCAAAGGUCUGGAGAACUUAUCCUAUGAGGACAGGCUUAAAGAGCUAUGGUCUUCUUAACUUCUUAAGAAGCUAAGGUCUUCUUCCCUUCCUCCCUGGAGAAGAGAAGGUUCAGGGAUGACCUCAUCACAGUAUUCCAGUACUUAAAGUGCAGCUACGAAGAGGACAGAGGUUUAUUCUUCACAAGGUGCCACAUGGAGAAGACAAAGGGCAAUGGAUACAAGUGGCACUGGGAGAGGAUUCAUCUUGAUAUAAGAAAUGCAACAGCCUCCCCAGGGACACGGCAGAGCCCCCAUCACUGGAGAUUUUCAAGGUGCUAUUGGAUGGGGUGCUAGAAGAUCUCAUCUAGGCUCCCUUUCACAUGAAAAGUUGGAUCACAUGGUCUUUCAAGGUUGCUUACAACCUGCGCUGUUUUAGGAUUCUCUGAAAAUCUUACUAGGAUUUGCAGACUUCACAAUGGCAUGGGCCCCCAAUGGAAUUCAGAGGCUUAACUAGGUAAACAGAUUCCAAAGAGUCACCUGUGCCAUCAGAUUCAACAGGCAGUAACUGGAGUACUUUGACGGAGAUCUGAGCAAGGAAUUGAAAACUACAGAAUCAGUAAAAGAAGCUUUCUUUUUGUUCCCUCCAUUGUCUUAGGAAACUGUACUGACCAGCACUAAAUUUCCUUUUGAUUGUGGGCAACGCUAGCUGCCACUAGCAGUGGUUUUCACUGCAAGCAGCCAACCACUGGAGUAAGUAAACAAGAGCAGCAGCAGUAAAAUCUUUCUAAGCAAGCUCAUACAAAAGCAUCAUCUUCAUUAUUCAACAUCUCAACAAAAGACACUGGCAACACUGAAAUAUUUGGUUUUAUAAAAUUGAGCUUUAGAGAUGAGCUAUCUUUAUUCGAAUGCAGUAAUUGCAUAGUAUCUUAAAAGAGCUUUUUUUUUUUCAUUUUACGAAAACGCAUAACCCACAUUUUUCUUACAUGCUGUUAUAGGAAGAUGGCACUUAGCUUUUCUAAUAGUCAAGCACUGCUUUGCAGAACAGAACAUUGUUCACAAUUAAAAAUAGUGAUUAGAAAAAACUAGAGGGAAGAAUUUUAGAGUAUUUUUAAAUGUGGCCUCUCUAUGGUAUGUAUUUUUAUACUGUUUCAAGGUCUCAAGUAAUAGGAAAAUUAUACAAAGGUAAUACAAGUAAUCUGGAAUCCACUACAUGCAGUUCUAUUUUAAAAGAGCAAUUCACACCAAAUUCUUUUACCGCACUAAGAGUGAGUUCAGGAAAAUAAAUAUCCAAGGAGGAAUAUGGAUUUAAUUGUUAUUGCUGUUACAUUGCUAAAAUAAAACAGCUGUGAUCACACACUCAGAUAAAGCCAUUGUUUAACAAAUAUUUUUAUUAAACAUCUCUGCAGUGAAGAUGAGUCCAGCUCCCCAAGAGGAGAGCAGGCUGCUUCCUGGACCACCCAUUGCUCCCUAGGUAAAACAAUUCAACCAGCUGUUGGGGGGUGGGGGGAACUUGAUCAGACACACUGGACACUGUAGCAGUUAUGGAGCAACUCAUGCUUUCUCACUGACAUACUGAACUAUAACAACUGUAUUUUAACAUUCAAAUAAAUAGACCACAGUCUUUUUUUCAAAGCAUUAAUUUGACCACUAACUAAUAACAGCAAGAGUGUUUUUCAAAUGGCACCUUCCCAAAAAUAACAAUGACCUGUGUAGCCCACAGGAGAGCAGUCUCAGAAAACUAAAGUCAGCUGAUUACAGGAGGCACUGAGGGAAAAGCAGGCACAUGGGAAGGUCAGAGGUACAACAGGAGCAGUCAGGAAAAUAAAUUGGCCACAGUCGUACAGCAAAUAAACGGUAUGUCAGAGCUGUGAAUAAAAUCCAGAAGUCCUGAUUCCUUUUCUCUCUGCCCUAUUGCCCCAGUCCUAACCAGAUCCUCUCUCAAAAUUACUUUCUAACAUAGACAAUCCAGGAGAUUAAAACAUUUUUCCUAUGUACAAAACAAAUGUAGCAAAAGCUAUAUAAAGGAUUCCUUCACACAGUCACUCCACCAUUUACGCUAUGGCCGGAAAGAAUUUGUUAAUAAAUAUUGUACAUUUCCUCCAGGUCAGCAAUCAGAAUGCCUAAGUCUGCAGAAUUUGUCAUUUUUCUAUUUAAGAAUUGGUGUUAGGGUAUUUUCAACAAUUAUUCAAACUUAAAUCUGAGUCACCUUUUACAGGAGUGUUUCCUUCAAGCUCUGUCAUCAAUCAGUCUGUGUUUGCUAGAUGUCUAGGUGUUGGGGGUAUUAGAGGAGUUGUAAAAGCAGAUGACAUUUUCAAGCACAACAUUUAUAAGUAUCCAAUAUUUGUCAAGAUGUAUACUGCUUUUUUGCUUCAGUAAAAUAAGAAAAAUCUCAUAUUUAGACCAGACAGAAUAGAGCCAAGUAAAGUAUGAAUGUUCUUACCUAUGAAAUCUUUUAUGUAAAAGAGCCAUAUAAUAAACAAGAGUACAUGUGAUAAAGACUAAAAUAGCAAAAGUGUUUCUAAUUUCUAAUAAUAAAUGUGCACUGUUUACCAGCGGAUGUGCAGUGUGGUUUUUCCAAACAAAAACCAAUUAAGCAGCUGGUCUUAUCUUAGACUUAAAAGUGCCAAACAAAAAACAGAUUUAGGAUGGGCUCCAAAUUACUAAAGUUGAGCCAUUUCAAAGCGUAUUAAUUAGGUUUCCUAAUAACAUAUCAGUCACUGAAUACAAACUAUCUGCUUUAAUUUAAGGCUUUAUUAGCCACUUGGAACAUGGAGCCCAUGGGUCAAGUCUCCAGUGAUGCAAAUCAGAGCAGUUUUCCUUUAAUCCACAAUCACACAAGUUCAGAACUGGUCUAAAUAUUUAAGACGCCUGUUUUAAAUUACUUGAUUGUAUUUGCAUUUCUUUCAGAUAUCUGUACAGUUAUUAAUUGAACACAGAGUUUCUUAGUCUGGAAAGUUUGCUUCAUAAAAUGUAGGCUUUUCUUCCCCUUUGGCAACUGUUGUCUUCCAUGGUAGAGGUCGCCCUCUAGUGGACACUUUCUCUGAUGUUUUAUUUGUAAGGUUUUCGUAAUCUAAUGGAACAUUUGUACGAUACAUCCAAUUUGCUUUCCAAUUUAAAAUAAUUAAAAGGAAAUGCCAGGACUUAAUUAGUGCCUAUACAAUGUUUCUUGAGGACCUUUGAAAUUAUUACAUUAGUCUCAAGACCAGUUACUUCAAACUGUAAUGAACUUAGGUAUGUAAACAGCAAAAUCAUGUCCUGAAAAGAAUAAUUAUUGAUUCAGUAGUUCAGAGAACAGAUUCAAGGACAAGAACAGUGUUGCUCUGUAUUGACUGACUGCUGUUUUACCAAGCUAUCAGUGCUGACCUAAUUAACCUCCAGUCUGUUUGUACGGGCUACCUUACUGGCUCUCUCAGUACCUUGCUAUUUAGAGGAGGGCAGUAGAUUGAUACCAGAUUCACUUGGUGGUUUACUCAAAACAUUUUACUUUAAAAAGCUGCACUUGGGGCUCCUACAUGGAACAAAUACAUACACACUUACACUUUUUUGUUCUCUGCUAUGGGAGUAUGAUCACAUAAUAUACAACUGAGAAACUGCAUAAGGAUGCCAACUGGCUACAUUCUAUUUCCAUUAUUCAGCAAUGACAAAGGGAUCUCUUAGCAUGAACCUUUCACCUGUGAAUUUUUCUUUCUUCAGAAUGGGACAAUAAAAACAGUUACUGUAGCAGCAACUUUCAUAAUGCAAAUCUCAGCCCGCUAGUUGAGACCACUAACACGUUUAUUGGAUUUUCAAGAACUUGCCAGGUGAUAGUGGUAUGUGGUUACUAUUAUGGUUCUAUGGAAUUUACUGAGAAUCCUAAAUCAAAUAUGAUUUGGGAAGUAGUUUUCUGAGUUUCAGAUAGAGUAAGCAGAGGCUUCUUGAACCAGCUUAAAGUUUAAGGAAAGUGUAUGUUUUUCUCAACGCUAAACUUUUCUAUUCCAAGUCUCCCAGAGUUCCAAAAUCUGCUUUUUUUUCCCUGGUGGGCUGUUGACUAUUUCUCAUGAAUCCUUUCAUAAAGUUUUGGAGGCCACAGGGUGGCCUGUCUGACACUUUCCAUCUAUGGGGAUUUUAGUAGAAUACAUUUAUUUUCCUAGUUCAAUUAGAAGAAUCUCAACCCAGCUGAACAGAUGCCCACAUCACAAAGCAAUAUCACAACAGUUUCUUUUGUUGUCAAUUUCUCUAUAGAGAAACCAGUACUUGUUAAGAAAAGUACUGGAAUAAUAAUAUAAUUAUAUAAUAUAUGCAUAUAUAUGCAUGUACCACUUAUAAAUGAAAUUCUUCUGCUCUUUCUAAACAUGGACUCUAGUCAAAAACUUGCUGCUUAUUUGUAGCUCAGACAAUACUCCCAGUGCAGCAAAAACUCAGAAAUAAAGCCAGUGGGAGAGAUUUUCUGCAAUCUUUUUCUGAAACAGAGUUAAACAGGACUUUAGAACUGGGCUCAGUUCAAAUGAGAUCAAACACUACAGCGCCUAAAGGAGACAAAAAGCUUUGCAAGGUCCAGUGUAUGAUUUAUAACAGUAUGAGCAAUGCGGAGUCAAACUUGCCUGAAGUAAAGGCUUCAGUGAUUUAUAAAAGUAAUUUACAUAACAGAGGCAGUCUAAUAGACCAAACCAUACGUAUUACACUUGACAGUAUUUUAAGGCUGCCUAGGAUGUGUAAUCUGCAGUCAAGAUUUCUCCGUACAGAGAUUAAGUGCACAAAAAAUUACAUAAUAUAGAGAAUAACAGAGCAUUUAAAGAAAGGGCAGAACUAAGUUGGGUGCUACAGAUCAUAGCAGAUAUGCACACAAUAUUUAUUUCUUCACUGUAAUUUCAGUAACGCGGCUCAGUUAUACUGCUGGAAACUGCAAACUGAGAGUGCCAAUAAUCAGCCCCUUCAUCAGAAAGAGGUUUAAACAAGUAGUCUCACCCAUACUAUUGAUCUUAGCAAAACUACACUAAAUUCUGUUUAAAUGUGGAAAAUUACCGGCGAAUCAACAAAUAUGAAACCUAUAUAUGCAUUUUUUUGCCUGUACUUAGAGAAAAAAAAAAAAGUUCAAAUCCUAGAACUAAUCAUCUAAAGCUGUAGGUGUCAUAUAUGGGCAAUUUGUAUGAGCAAUAUUGCUGCACUUAGUAUUCUACAACGGCAUCAUCCAUUCAAGGCUCUCUAGAGCUCCAACACCCUUUCAGCAUAGCUAAAUUUAAAUUACACUGGGUUGAAAAGCUCAAGAGAGAGAAAACACACAAACUAGUCUGGGAUUCCCUCCCCCUCUUUUCUUUCUCUCGCUUUUCUCCACAAACACUUAAAAAGGCAGUGCAUGUUUGCACGAGUUCCUUGGCAGUGCUGCUGUUCACCUUCAUUUUGGCUUCUGAGAAUAAUGAAGGGAGAGUAUCUGCUCAAGGAACAGUCAUUGCUCUUUAUGUGUACGGUUUUUAUUAUUGUUUCCUUUCAAAGCAGGAUUUUGUUGAGGAAAUUCUCCAAGUUUUUGAACAUAAUUUAUU
Molecule: long non-coding RNA, 6442 nt
Organism: Strigops habroptila (Kakapo)
Lineage: Eukaryota; Metazoa; Chordata; Aves; Psittaciformes; Psittacidae
Source: Ensembl